RNAcentral lists this long non-coding RNA (347 nucleotides) under Ananas comosus (pineapple). RNAcentral describes it as "long non-coding RNA (ACOM_LNC020312)". The record is from RNAcentral. Lineage: Eukaryota; Viridiplantae; Streptophyta; Magnoliopsida; Poales; Bromeliaceae.
UUUUUAGCCCUUGGAUGGAGAGAUGUGAGGUUGAGAUGAUGGUGGUAGGUGGGGGUAGGUGGUGGUAGGUGGAAUAGUGUUUGAUCCAAGGGCUAUUAAAUAUCAAGGAGUAGAUCCAAUGGCUAAAAACCUAAUAGCAUCAUGGAAGUAAUACUUGUAAAAGUAUUAUAGCUCAAUUCUCUCUCUCUCUCUCUCUCUCUCUCUAUAUAUAUAUAUAUAUAUAUAUAAUGGGACUUUCGAAUCGACGAUCGAUCCCAUUAGACUUAAUCUAACGUAUUUGAAGUAUCCAGAAAAUAAUUUUUAUGGAUUUUCAAUAUCAUUUACUUAGCUAUCAAAAGAAUUCAAAA